Long non-coding RNA from Polypterus senegalus (gray bichir), 376 nucleotides. RefSeq lists it as uncharacterized. The record is from RefSeq and is a predicted model, not a curated record. The transcript is spliced from 3 exons. Lineage: Eukaryota; Metazoa; Chordata; Cladistia; Polypteriformes; Polypteridae.
AAGUUGAUCCAGCACCAGACCACCAAAGCCAGGACCAUGAUGGAGGCACUUCAACCAGCGAUAUGUUUGGUGGAGAGAUCAAGCAAGGAAGGACAGCAGCUUCCUCCAUCCUUCUCCUCCUCUCUUCUUAGAACCAUCAUCCCACCAAGAUCAGAUAAAGGACCACCAGCAUUGCCCCCACCACCUCUGCCUCUGUGCCAGCCUCCUGCUGUCUGCCAGCAUGUAGUUUGAGGCCACCUCCACCUCCCAGUCUGCAACCAGUGGAUGGCCCAUGCCAUCACAGUUCUCCCAACCGACAGCACAGAAGCCAACACAAACACUGUCUGCAGCCAGGAGAGAGGGGCUAGAGGACAUCCCUACCCAAAGAACAGCAGAA